AGACCAGCCACCGGGGACUCCAGAGAGGCCUCGGCCCAGCUCCCGGAAAGGGUCUCCCAGCCAGGCCUUCUAGCGGCCCAAAGCGGAUGGAAACUUGACCCAGAAUGGACAAGUGAUUCUCCAGGUCCAGGACUAAAACAUGGGCCUCUCAACAUCUCAGCAGGCAGGUGGAAGAGAUGGAGCAAACUCACUUGGAGCAAAGAUGGGCAGGAGGGGAACAGCGAAGCCCAGGCCAACGGCACCACAGGGCCCCUGGCAGAACAUGGACAGAGACAGUGUGAUUCCAGGGCUCUGUUCCCUUGCUGCUGCCUCCAUGGGCCCCGUACAUGUGCUCAUGAUUCUUAGACACAAACAAAGCUCCCAACACAGUGAUGGAAAUGCAGCUGCCAAGGGGGAUUGCCAAGGAAACCAUCUUUGAAAGGCUCAUUAUUCUUAUGAAGAAUCUGCAGGAGACAGGAGUUCUCAAAACAACUCUCGCUCCGCCUCUAUCCUCAACCGGACUCUGUGGGAGUGUCUCUUUUAGUAAUUAUCCUGUUCUUUGGUAAUUAUCUGCCUCUCCUGCUAGCCUGUGGGACUGUGUUUUCUUCAUCUUUGCAUCAUGAGUAUCUAGCACAGGGUCUGGCUCAUUGUAGUACCUGGCAGAUAUUGGUG
Long non-coding RNA from Homo sapiens (human), 651 nucleotides. NCBI's taxonomy places the organism in Eukaryota, Metazoa, Chordata, Mammalia, Primates, Hominidae. The record is from Ensembl.